UAAAAAAAAUUAUUAGUAUUUAAUUUUAUAUUUAAUUUAUAAUAAGUAUAUUAUAUUUUAUUAAUUAUUAAGAAAAAAUUUGUUUUUGUUAUAGUUAAUUAGUAUUGUAAAAGAAAUUUUAAUAUAUAAAUAAGAAGUAUUUAUUUUAUGUACCUUGUGUAUCAGGGUUUAUUAAAUAUAAAUAUAAUAUUUAUAUUUUCUCGAAUUUAAAAGAGCGAAAAAUAAAUAUUUAAUAUUGUUGAAUAACUAUAUAAAAUUUAUUUUUAGUAAUGAAAUGUUAUUCGUUUUUAAAUUUAUCUAGUUUUUUAAGAAAAAAAUUUAAUUUUAUUAUAUAUUUAUUAAUAUAUUAAUUUAUUAAUAUAUUUUUAUGUAUAAUUAAUGAUUUUAGGGAUGAGCUUAAAAUUAAAUAUUUAUAAAAUUUAUAUAAAAUAUAUAAUUUAUAGGAUUAAAAAUUUUCAUUGUUAAUAAUUUGUUAUAAUUAAUUAUUAUAUUAUUAUUUUUUAUAUUAUUUUUAAUUUUUUUAUUAAAAAAUUGAUUAUAAUUUUAAAUAUUACGUUAUAAUGAUAAAAUUAGUAUAAAUUAAAUUAUUAAUAUUAAAAUUUAUUAAUAUUUAAUAAAGGAAUUCGGCAAAUUAAUUUUUCACCUGUUUAUUAAAAACAUGUCUUUUAGAUUAUAAUUAAAAGUCUAGCCUGCCCACUGAUUAAUUAAAUGGCCGCGGUAUUUUGACCGUGCAAAGGUAGCAUAAUCAUUAGUUUUUUAAUUGAAAGCUGGAAUGAAAGGUUGAAUGAAAAAAUUACUGUCUCUAUUAGAAUAAUAAAAUUUUAUUUUUAAGUUAAAAAGCUUAAAUUAAAUUUAAAGACGAGAAGACCCUAUAGAGUUUAAUAAUAAAUUAUAUUUAUUUUUUUAAGCAUUAAUAAUAUAUAGAUAAUUUAUUUUUUAAUUGGGGUGAUUGAAAAAUUUAUAUAACUUUUUUUAUUAUUAUACAUUUAUUUAUGAAUAUAUGAUCCAAAAUGAUUGAUUAAAAGAUAAAAUUACCUUAGGGAUAACAGCGUUAUUUUUUUUGAGAGUUCUUAUCGAAAAAAAAGAUUGCGACCUCGAUGUUGGAUUAAAAUAAAUUUUUGGUGUAGAAGCUAAAAUAAUUAGGUCUGUUCGACCUUUAAAAUUUUACAUGAUCUGAGUUUAAACCGGUGUAAGCCAGGUUGGUUUCUAUCUUAAAUUUAAAUUAAUAUUUUAGUACGAAAGGACCAAAUAUUA
RNAcentral lists this ribosomal RNA (1254 nucleotides) under Erotylinae sp. 4 ACP-2013. Its description in RNAcentral is "16S ribosomal RNA". The stretch from base 1042 to 1201 matches the Rfam family "Archaeal large subunit ribosomal RNA", at positions 2542 to 2701 of the family's 2987-position model. Lineage: Eukaryota; Metazoa; Arthropoda; Insecta; Coleoptera; Erotylidae. The record is from RNAcentral.